RNAcentral lists this unclassified non-coding RNA (621 nucleotides) under Hevea brasiliensis (rubber tree). The record is from RNAcentral. Lineage: Eukaryota; Viridiplantae; Streptophyta; Magnoliopsida; Malpighiales; Euphorbiaceae.
UUCCAUAAAACAUAAUAUAUUGGCAAAUAUUUGCAAAAUGCAUUAUUGGUUACAAUGAAAGUAAUUACAUAGAUAAGACAAUUCCAUUAUGAGGAAGGUGCAGAUUAGCAGGCCAUUUACAAUUUGCUAGAAACAGCAAGGUACUUGGUGUGACGGCCCUGAGCAAUAAUUUUCCCAGUUUUUUUCUUCCUGAGCUCAACGCUGACAACUCCAACAGCCUUACCAACUCGGAGAACCUUUGCCUCAAUCUCAAUUUCUUCAUCGACAUAAGCAGCAUCCAAGUAUGAAACGUUGAUUUCCACCGAAACUCCGGUAAAUUGGGCUCCAACAGUGUAUAUUACAGCUGAACCCACCAAGUCAACGAGCGUGGCCGUAGCUCCACCAUGCAAGAAAUUGCCAGCAUUCAGUAGGCGAGGAGGGACUUUCAUGGAGCAAACUAUACGGCCGGGUUCAAUAAGGUCAACGUGAAGGCCUUGCAUUAUGAAGCGUUCGAAGAAUCUGAGAGGCAUUCCUUCGAUGGUUGAUCGGUUCUUGUCAUCUUCGCCUUCUCGUCCGCCUUUCUCCAGGUAUCUCUUCACCGACUCCAAAUCCAUUUCUCCUUCUCCUUCUUCUUCUUCUUCU